RNAcentral lists this ribosomal RNA (429 nucleotides) under Chloroflexota bacterium. RNAcentral's name for it is "Chloroflexi bacterium partial 16S ribosomal RNA". It matches the Rfam family "Bacterial small subunit ribosomal RNA", at positions 355 to 776 of the family's 1533-position model. Lineage: Bacteria; Bacillati; Chloroflexota. The record is from RNAcentral.
UGGGGAAUAUUGCACAAUGGGCGCAAGCCUGAUGCAGCCAUGCCGCGUGUAUGAAGAAGGCCUUCGGGUUGUAAAGUACUUUCAGUCGGGAGGAAGGUGUCAAGGUUAAUAACCUUGGCAAUUGACGUUACCGACAGAAGAAGCACCGGCUAACUCCGUGCCAGCAGCCGCGGAAAUACGGAGGGUGCAAGCGUUAAUCGGAAUUACUGGGCGUAAAGCGCACGCAGGCGGUCUGUCAAGUCGGAUGUGAAAUCCCCGGGCUCAACCUGGGAACUGCAUUCGAAACUGGCAGGCUAGAGUCUUGUAGAGGGGGGUAGAAUUCCAGGUGUAGCGGUGAAAUGCGUAGAGAUCUGGAGGAAUACCGGUGGCGAAGGCGGCCCCCUGGACAAAGACUGACGCUCAGGUGCGAAAGCGUGGGGAGCAAACAGG